GACGAACGCUGGCGGCGUGCCUAACACAUGCAAGUCGAGCGAUGCGAUUCUUCGGAAUCAAUUAGCGGCGGACGGGUGAGUAACACGUGGGUAACCUGCCUCAAAGAGGGGAAUAGCCUCCCGAAAGGGAGAUUAAUACCGCAUAAUAUGUUUUGAUCGCAUGAUCUUAACAUCAAAGGAACUUCUUCGGAAAUUCCACUUUGAGAUGGACCCGCGGCGCAUUAGCUAGUUGGUGAGGUAAAGGCCCACCAAGGCAACGAUGCGUAGCCGACCUGAGAGGGUGAUCGGCCACAUUGGAACUGAGACACGGUCCAGACUCCUACGGGAGGCAGCAGUGGGGAAUAUUGCGCAAUGGGGGAAACCCUGACGCAGCAACGCCGCGUGAAUGAUGAAGGCCUUCGGGUUGUAAAGUUCUGUCUUCUGGGACGAUAAUGACGGUACCAGAG
RNAcentral lists this ribosomal RNA (446 nucleotides) under uncultured bacterium. RNAcentral describes it as "bacterial SSU rRNA". It matches the Rfam family "Bacterial small subunit ribosomal RNA", at positions 28 to 483 of the family's 1533-position model. The record is from RNAcentral.